Small nucleolar RNA from Meriones unguiculatus (Mongolian gerbil), 131 nucleotides. NCBI's taxonomy places the organism in Eukaryota, Metazoa, Chordata, Mammalia, Rodentia, Muridae. The record is from Ensembl.
CCUGCCUUGGAGGCAUAGAGGGUGUGGCUGCUGUGUCACACGUGUGUCGGUAGGUGGCAGAGAGAGGAGAGGUUGUGUCCAUGCUCAUUGUUGCAACCUAUGAACACCUGAGUCUAUAGUAACCAAAAAGU